Molecule: ribosomal RNA, 497 nt
Filed under: uncultured bacterium
Lineage: Bacteria
Description: partial 16S ribosomal RNA
Rfam family: Bacterial small subunit ribosomal RNA
Source: RNAcentral
GAUGAACGCUGGCGGCGUGCCUAAUACAUGCAAGUCGAGCGAACGGAUGAGAAGCUUGCUUCUCUGAUGUUAGCGGCGGACGGGUGAGUAACACGUGGAUAACCUACCUAUAAUACUGGGAUAACUUCGGGAAACCGGAGCUAAUACCGGAUAAUAUUUUGAACCGCAUGGUUCAAAAGUGAAAGACGGUCUUGCUGUCACUUAUAGAUGGAUCCGCGCUGCAUUAGCUAGUUGGUAAGGUAACGGCUUACCAAGGCAACGAUGCAUAGCCGACCUGAGAGGGUGAUCGGCCACACUGGAACUGAGACACGGUCCAGACUCCUACGGGAGGCAGCAGUAGGGAAUCUUCCGCAAUGGGCGAAAGCCUGACGGAGCAACGCCGCGUGAGUGAUGAAGGUCUUCGGAUCGUAAAACUCUGUUAUUAGGGAAGAACAUAUGUGUAAGUAACUGUGCACAUCUUGACGGUACCUAAUCAGAAAGCCACGGCUAACUACGUG